This 289-nucleotide long non-coding RNA is filed under the name Drosophila guanche. The record is from RNAcentral. Lineage: Eukaryota; Metazoa; Arthropoda; Insecta; Diptera; Drosophilidae.
GUGAAAUUGAAAUGAGUUUUAGUGCUGCUUCACAGAUACAGAUAUAGAUGCAAGUAGCAUCUUUCUCUAAAGUCUUCUUCUGUGCUUCGCCUGAGAUUUCGGGGUCGAGCGUUAUCUUUUCUUCGACUUAUCGCUGCUGACUGAGGAGAGAUGCCUCGUUGCUUGUUCUUGUGGCACAGAAACAAGAAACGAGAACAGUCUGUAAAUUGAAUGAUAAGCACGCACACAGGCGUUCCCUUCCACAUCUGAAUGACGAUACACUCGUAGUAUGAUGUGGCGAUCGUUGUUG